UAUAUUUUUCUUUCCUUCGUUCUCCCUUCUCCUAUCUCCGUUCCUCAGCUAAUGACGACGGCCAGAUAUUUCCGUUCGAAAGCCGACGAAUCGGACCUCACCGUUUCACCAAUCGUCUCCCUUUCAUCUUAGGAACAAGAAAACCAGUCGCAUGCCUCGAUUCGUUAGGGUUUCGACGAGGAUUUUCGAAAACUCCUCAGAGUUUUCCGACAUUUUUGUGACGAUUCCGGCGAAGAUCGGCGUCGAGGUUGGUCUCAAGCUAUUCCUCAGAACCUCAGGUUAGAGCGGUCAAGGUUCAAAAGAUAUUGGUAGAACUCAGACCGGUGUGUUAUGCUUACUGCUCUAACUGUUUCACUUACAAUUUUAAUAAGCAUCUUUUGCUGAAUUUACUUUUGAUUAUCUUUUUUAUGGAAUUCAAAAUUUGAGUUGAUUAAAAUUGGUAAUUUGUUUUGA
Molecule: long non-coding RNA, 453 nt
Organism: Malus domestica (apple)
Lineage: Eukaryota; Viridiplantae; Streptophyta; Magnoliopsida; Rosales; Rosaceae
Source: RefSeq, a predicted model, not a curated record